GUUUGAUCAUGGCUCAGGAUGAACGCUAGCGGCAGGCUUAAUACAUGCAAGUCGAGGGGCAGCAUGGUGUAGCAAUACACUGAUGGCGACCGGCAAACGGGUGCGGAACACGUACAGAACCUUCUUCGAGCGGGGAAUAGCCCAGAGAAAUUUGGAUUAAUACCCCAUAGUAUUAUGGAGUGGCAUCACUUUGUAAUUAAAGAUUUAUCACUUGAAGAUGGCUGUGCGGCUGAUUAGGUAGUUGGCGGGGUAACGGCCCACCAAGCCUGCGAUCAGUAACUGGUGUGAGAGCACGACCAGUCACACGGGCACUGAGACACGGGCCCGACUCCUACGGGAGGCAGCAGUAAGGAAUAUUGGUCAAUGGACGAAAGUCUGAACCAGCCAUGCCGCGUGGAGGAUGAAGGUCCUCUGGAUUGUAAACUUCUUUUAUAUGGGACGAAAAAGGCCUUUCUAGGUCGUCUGACGGUACCAUAUGAAUAAGCACCGGCUAACUCCGUG
RNAcentral lists this ribosomal RNA (501 nucleotides) under uncultured bacterium. Its description in RNAcentral is "bacterial SSU rRNA". It matches the Rfam family "Bacterial small subunit ribosomal RNA", at positions 11 to 507 of the family's 1533-position model. The record is from RNAcentral.